GCACACGUCUGUAUGCAUCUGCAUCCAGAAGGCAUUCGAAGCUAUAGGGAAAUAGUUGGGUGGAAUUGGCAACAUUUUAAAUUUAGUUUAAACAAUAUACUGUGAAAGUACUUGGAAGGAAUUUCCAAACCGCUCAGCGUUUUCUGGCCGUCCAGCGGCCAUCUUGGCCUCGGGGGAAGUUGUGUGAGACUGAAGCCUUGCGAUCCCUCCUCGCCACCGCCACCUUCAGGCCGAGCUGUGUACUGUUUUUGGCACCAACGUUUAUCAAAGGCGUAACAACCCGAGAUUGUGAUUUUCUCGGAUGCCUCCCGAGGCCUUUCAACGGCUCACAGCUCACUAUGCUAGCAGCGCUAACGUUGCAGCGCUUACCUGCGGGGGCGAACCCGGAGGGAGGGUGCUACGGUUCCCACGGCGACGUUGUAACCGCCGUGUGAGGGCAGUGCAGAGAGCUAGCCACAAAAAGAGCUAGCCCCAAAACCUGCACCAGAUAUUAAGGAUUAGCUGGGAAAACCACUUCAUCCUCGUGUAGACAGCACCACAGCCGAAAUGUUAAGACUCCUUUAUUUGUAACCCCGACUUCGUUUUUCAGCAUGUGACCUUGUUGAAUCAACAGUGUGAGAUUGUGAGUUUCAUUUUUAUCUUCAACACAAGUGUCUUUCCAUUUAUCAUGAAAAACACCUCCUGCCAUUGUCCUCUAUUGCAGCGUUCCACCUUCCUCGAACAAUUCCUCCGCUGGGGAUAGACUCAUAUAACUCCGACUUUCCUGUUUCGUCCGCAUUGUUUGCCCUCGCAGAGAUACGGACCGGCUUUGAGUUGAUGAUUCACCUGGCUCAGCGGUGCCACCGGGUUCAGCACUCGACCCGCGGGUGAACUAAAAUAUCCUCAUCAUACUGCCCCCCUUUCUCAAACACUGAAGGUUCUACCUUUUAUGUAUUUAACGUAAUUCUUCCUGCGUCCAUGUUUGUACAACGGCGUUGAGUGGCCGCCGUAACUUUGAUUAAUGUGUUUUCCUUUCAUUCAGGCUUGUUGUUACAGUUGUUGGUGCAGUACGAGGCGGUUUUGAGGCCUCUCUGGUAAACUCCCGCUGCUUCUCAUCGCUUCUGCAAUGUUUACCAUCUUGAUUGCUCGAAUAAAAAGCAUCGGACACGAAAGCGCUUUGCAAAGGCAAACGUAUGUUGAGAAACACACUGAAGUUUCUGUCUCUUUAAGAUCUUGAUGGCUUCUCCGCCGCUCCCUCGAGGUCGCUGGCCUUCCUCAGGCCGCCUGCCAACUGCCAUGUUACUGUCGAGCGUUUGCAGAAAUGCCAGCAAAGCCAUUAGUCCGCAGCCCUUUUCAACAGUCAGCAGACUGGACAGCGUGAGCGGCGCGGCGGUGUGGAGGAACACGAGGCCCGGCCUUAUGAAAAUACAACACACGUCACUUUUCUUUCUUUUAUAUCCUUUCGCACGUGUGCUUGUUCUGCCGUGAGUUCUAAAGGCAGGACUGAGAUCGCGUUUGAGGUUGUAGUGAACCACCUUUUCGUGAGAGAAAAGUACGUUUUCUGAACCGUUGUGGAAUAUCACUGUUGAAGUUAAGCCAGUCAUGUACCUCCAUCUGCCCCCUGGCGUCUCACAGAGGAGCCGUGUUUGUUUUGUCUCUUGAGGCACAGCAGCAUCUGGUGGUUGACUGAUGACAUCACACUUUUCUAACAUCAUCCUGCUCCACACUCACACUGCUGCACGUACAAAUACAGCCCAAUGAAGAGAACUUUCACUUUUCACCUGUAGCUAUAAACCACAUCUAAUUGCAAUGCUAUUUGUGCAGUGUGCGCUCCUUGUGUUUAGCCAUGACACUAAAUGAAAACUUUUUACCUAACUUGAAUCUUCCUCACUUUCCUCCGGUAUGUCUCUUUCUCGGGAACCUCCACAGAAAUGCUCACAGAUGGUGAGUUGCUGAUUACAGCAGGCUAAUCCCAGUUGAAGCCCUGGGCCUCCUGGUUGUGUGGUCGAUUGGGGGGAACCUGUUGCUUUGUCAGAAAGCCUCUUAGAAGUCGGGUCAUGUGACCCCUCUGUGGGCCACAGGGCGUGCAAGGAGCCUUGUGCACACUCCUGAAACGGAUUGAGACAAACUGCUGCCAAUUGGUUAGAGAACAUAUGCAUACAUGCAGGGCAAAACACACAGGUCUUGCAUUGGAUCUUUUGUCUGACGUUACUUGUUACUGUUUGCUCAUAAAGACCAAAAUCUGGAUGUGCUGUAACCUCGUUACCCAUCAGCCAUGCCCCUGCACAAUCGCAUCCCGAGAGAGGCCUGGGCGCAAGACGGGUAGGUCAACAUCACCACACAACAACGCGGAACAUUGCAAAUACAUGCAUAAGUUUGAAGCAUUUCCCAUAUGAGAGCAUGUAAGUGUUGGCUGCGCACCUCAUUAUACUGCUACAUGAAGCCCUGCGACCUUCUGAUUGGUCAUUACUCAUUUUACCACACCCACUUUAAGCUGGUACUAGCCGAGUCGUAGGAAACUAAUUCACACGGAAGGUUCACUUGUUGUCAGGCAGACCCAAACUUCAUCUAAUCAAUCAGCAUCUUUUUUAUCACAAUUUUGUUAAACUAGGCAUUUCAUAUUCCAGCCUUUCUUUGAAGAAUUAUUUGCUGGUUUCUUUAUCUUCUUUGGAAUUAAAUUAGAUAUUGUUGAGUCAAUAUGAAUAUUACAUUUUAUUCACCAAUCGAUUAAUCGAUGAAUCCAGAAUAUUAACAGAUAAAUUGACAAUGAGACUAAUUGUUUGUCAUUGUUCUAUUCCAUAAUCACACAUAUAACUACAUAAAUAACAUGAACAACGUCCCACAGGUAUUUUUACAUAACAGAAUUUAUUUUUUAUUAAUGAUGGAAUUGAUGAAGAACAACAGCAAAUAUAAUUACAUAAUAUGCACAUUUAAUUGUUUUUAUUUCAGGAUUCAAGAGCUUGACGAUUCGGCCACGCAGCUGCAAGUUCAAAAACUCUUUAGAAGAUAAAAAAGAAGAAAGAGGAGACUAACGGCACAACAGAUGCCGAGAUGAAUGUUAAAGAAGCAAAGCCUAAAAAGACAAAGAUUAAGAAGCAGGAAGAUGUGUCCGAUGAGGGAAGUCCUGCCGUCCAGAAUGGAAAGAAGGUGAA
Molecule: non-coding RNA, 3131 nt
Organism: Gasterosteus aculeatus aculeatus (three-spined stickleback)
Lineage: Eukaryota; Metazoa; Chordata; Actinopteri; Perciformes; Gasterosteidae
Source: RefSeq, a predicted model, not a curated record